AUUGAACGCUGGCGGAAUGCUUUACACAUGCAAGUCGAACGGCAGCACGGGUGCUUGCACCUGGUGGCGAGUGGCGAACGGGUGAGUAAUACAUCGGAACGUACCCAGUUAUGGGGGAUAACUAACCGAAAGGUUAGCUAAUACCGCAUACGCCCUGAGGGGGAAAGCGGGGGACCGUAAGGCCUCGCGUAAUUGGAGCGGACGAUGUCUGAUUAGCUAGUUGGUGAGGUAAAGGCUCACCAAGGCGACGAUCAGUAGCAGGGCUGAGAGGAUGACCUGCCACCCUGUAACUGAGACACGGUCCAGACUCCUACGGGAGGCAGCAGUGGGGAAUUUUGGACAAUGGGCGACAGCGUGAUCCAGCCAUUCCGCGUGAGUGAAGAAGGCCUUCGGGUUGUAAAGCUCUUUCGGCAGGGAAGAAACGCUCUGGGAUAAUACUCCGGGGUAGUGACGGUACCUGAAGAAGAAGCACCGGCUAACUACGUGCCAGCAGCCGCCGUAA
This 502-nucleotide ribosomal RNA is filed under the name uncultured bacterium. RNAcentral describes it as "partial 16S ribosomal RNA". It matches the Rfam family "Bacterial small subunit ribosomal RNA", at positions 30 to 523 of the family's 1533-position model. The record is from RNAcentral.